UCUCCGUUGGUGAACCAGCGGAGGGAUCAUUGCUGGAACGCGCCCCAGGCGCACCCAGAAACCCUUUGUGAACUUAUACCUUACUGUUGCCUCGGCGCUAGCUGGUCCUUCGGUGCCCCUCACCCUCGGGUGUUGAGACAGCCCGCCGGCGGCCAACCAAACUCUUGUUUCUACAAUGAAUCUCUGAGUAAAAAACAUAAAUGAAUCAAAACUUUCAACAACGGAUCUCUUGGUUCUGGCAUCGUUGAAGAACGCAGC
This 258-nucleotide unclassified non-coding RNA is filed under the name uncultured fungus. RNAcentral describes it as "sequence contains ITS1, 5.8S rRNA gene". The stretch from base 210 to 258 matches the Rfam family "5.8S ribosomal RNA", at positions 1 to 49 of the family's 154-position model. Lineage: Eukaryota; Fungi. The record is from RNAcentral.